GAUGAACGCUGGCGGCGUGCCUAAUACAUGCAAGUCGAGCGAACAGACGCCGUUCUUGCUCCUCUGACGUUAGCGGCGGGCGGGUGAGGAACAUGUGCUUAACCUACCUUUAAGACUAGUUUAACUUCGUGAAACCAGUGCUAAUACCGGAUAAUAUAUUCAACCGCAUGGUUCAAUAGUGUAAGCCGUUUUUGCUGUCCCUGAUAGAUAGAUGCUCGCCGUAUUGGCUGGUUCGUAAGGUAACGGUUUACCAAGGCAACGAUGCGUAGCCGACCUGAGAGGGUGGUCGGCCACACUGGAACUGAGACACGGUCCAGACUCCUACGGGAGGCAGCAGUAGGGAAUCGUCCGCAAAGGGCGAAAGCCUGACGGAGCAACGCCGCGUGAGUGAUGAAGGUCUUCGGAUCGUAAAACUCUGUUAUUAGGGAAGAACAAAUGUGUAAGUAACUAUGCACGUCUUGACGGUACCUAAUCAGAAAGCCACGGCUAACUACGUG
RNAcentral lists this ribosomal RNA (497 nucleotides) under uncultured bacterium. RNAcentral describes it as "partial 16S ribosomal RNA". It matches the Rfam family "Bacterial small subunit ribosomal RNA", at positions 28 to 507 of the family's 1533-position model. The record is from RNAcentral.